GCAGACAAAUUACAGCCAAUCAGCAGCAGACCCUCCCUCCCAGGCCCUCCCACCUCCUGGACAGCAUCCAUUUUGAAGCUGCAUUCUUAGUGAGCUGUCCAGGAGGUGGGAGGGUCUGGGAGGGAGGGUCUGCUGCUGAUUGGCUGGAAUGUGUCU
Pelobates cultripes (western spadefoot toad) is the source of this 156-nucleotide non-coding RNA. NCBI's taxonomy places the organism in Eukaryota, Metazoa, Chordata, Amphibia, Anura, Pelobatidae. The record is from the annotation of a GenBank genome assembly.